AAAGCAUAAGAAAUUCUCGGAAUUGUAAUUCCAUGUGUUGAUCUCAGCAUCGUCACCAAACUUCAAUUCCUGGGUUUCUUGGAAAUUAAAAGCCAAUAACAACCUCAGCUCGCAGGGAGAGGAACACAGAUCAACUUAGAUUGAUGGACAGGUGUAGAGGGCAAGUCUAUCCUUUGAUGACUGCAAGGGUUCGCUUGCCUGUGUGAAUGAGCCAUUCGAUACCAGACAAGAUUGAUACACCUUUCCUAUCAUCUCAGAGCAAUGUUUACCCCCCAAUGGAUUUGGUACACACAUUCAAUCAGGGUGGGGUGGGUGGGUGGUUGAGUCACCCGUCAAAAGAACUCAAGUGAUGCCGCCUUGAGUAAUAAUACUACAUAGGUAUCAGAAAGGUGACGUAUAAAUCCUUUAUAAUAAAUAAAGUGUGUGUUGUCUGAAUGAUGCAAAGGUGAUUUUGCAGUGAGGAGCGAACAACUUCACCGUAGGCAAUCAUCUCAGCCGUCCGUGUGAAAUUCUUGUGAAGUGGGACAGAGUUUGCCGAGAAGCUGACAGUUGCCUUAAUUUUAGUGGACAAACUCCUGUGUCUUUAAGAGCUUCACGACACUCAAGAAAUGCAUAGCUGAAGUUUUCCCCGCAUUGCUGCAUCUCUAGGGACAGGGUCUCCUGCUGGAGCGUUUUGCCUCUUGUACUGCAAUGGAUGAAGACACAGGUGGUUGCCCAUACAGAAAGGAGCAAUAGUUGCUGGGGCCAUGAUUCCUAGUCCACUGGCACUUUCUUGAUGUGUGAGAAGUCCACUCACACCCUGCAAUCCUUU
This is a long non-coding RNA of Podarcis raffonei (Aeolian wall lizard), 811 nucleotides long. RefSeq lists it as uncharacterized. The record is from RefSeq and is a predicted model, not a curated record. Lineage: Eukaryota; Metazoa; Chordata; Lepidosauria; Squamata; Lacertidae. The transcript has 2 exons.